AAAGGGGAGCAAUCCCUGAGUACAGUGGCGUACGGGUGAGUAACACGUGGAUCAUCUACCUUCUAGUGGGGAAUACCCCUGGGAAACCGGGGACAAUACCGCAUGAGCUCGUGAGAGGAAAGCCGAAAGGCGCUGGAAGAGGAGUCCGCGGCUGAUUAGCUAGUUGGCGGGGUAAUGGCCCACCAAGGCGAAGAUCGGUAGCCGGCCUGAGAGGGCACACGGCCACACUGGCACUGAAACACGGGCCAGACUCCUACGGGAGGCAGCAGUGGGGAAUCUUGCACAAUGGAGGAAACUCUGAUGCAGCGACGCCGCGUGAGCGAUGAAGCCCUUCGGGGUGUAAAGCUCUUUCGACGGGAACGAUAAUGACGGUACCCGAAGAAGAAGCUGCGGCUAACUACGUGCCAGCAGCCGCGGUAAUACGUAGGCAGCAAGCGUUGUUCGGAAUUACUGGGCGUAAAGAGUGCGUAGGCGGUGCUCUAAGUUUGGUGUGAAAUCUCCCGGCUCAACUGGGAGGGUGCGCCGAAAACUGGAGUGCUCGAGUGUGGGAGAGGUAAGCGGAAUUCCUGGUGUAGCGGUGAAAUGCGUAGAUAUCAGGAGGAACACCUGUGGUGUAGACAGCUUACUGGACCACGACUGACGCUGAGGCACGAAAGCGUGGGUAGCAAACAAGAUUAGAUACCCUGGUAGUCCACGCCCUAAACGAUGCAUACUUGGUGUGAGCCAUUCAUUUGGUUCGUGCCGGAGCUAACGCGUUAAGUAUGCCGCCUGGGGAGUACGGUCGCAAGGCUG
Molecule: ribosomal RNA, 792 nt
Filed under: uncultured Bacillota bacterium
Lineage: Bacteria; Bacillati; Bacillota
Description: bacterial SSU rRNA
Rfam family: Bacterial small subunit ribosomal RNA
Source: RNAcentral